UACGUAGGGUGCAAGCGUUGUCCGGAAUUAUUGGGCGUAAAGAGCUCGUAGGCGGUUUGUCGCGUCGAAUGUGAAAUCCCGGGGCUCAACCCCGGGUCUGCAUUCGAUACGGGCAGACUAGAGUUCGGUAGGGGAGUCUGGAAUUCCUGGUGUAGCGGUGAAAUGCACAGAUAUCAGGAGGAACACCGGUGGCGAAGGCGGGACUCUGGGCCGAUACUGACGCUGAGGAGCGAAAGCGUGGGGAGCAAACAGG
This 253-nucleotide ribosomal RNA is filed under the name uncultured bacterium. RNAcentral describes it as "partial 16S ribosomal RNA". It matches the Rfam family "Bacterial small subunit ribosomal RNA", at positions 524 to 776 of the family's 1533-position model. The record is from RNAcentral.